UUAGAUACCCUAGUAUCAUAAUAAACUAAAAAUUAGUAUAAUUGAAAAUUAAUAAUUUUGGCGGUUAAUUUUUUUUUAGAGGAGCUUGUUAUAAGUAGAAUCGGCUCUUUGAAUUUUAAUAUUAAAUAUAAUUUAUUCAUCUCCGUUAUCAAAUUAAUUUAGUAAAUAUUUUUAGUAUAUCAGGUCAAGAUGUAGUUUUUAUUAAGUAUAAUUAGCUAUAUUUAUGUAAUAAAUAGAUUAUGAAAUUGUAUACUAAAUUUGAAUUGAAUUUGAUUGUAAUAAUAAUUAGAAAGUUAUUAUGAAUUGGACCAAUUAAUGUAUAUAUGCCC
Molecule: ribosomal RNA, 329 nt
Filed under: Acanthogonyleptes editus
Lineage: Eukaryota; Metazoa; Arthropoda; Arachnida; Opiliones; Gonyleptidae
Description: partial small subunit ribosomal RNA
Source: RNAcentral